ACCAUCAUAGCUCAGUAGUAGAAGAGCCUCUGCUUUGCAGGCAGAUGGUCCCAGGUUCGAACCCCAGCAGUCCCAGGUA
This is a non-coding RNA of Podarcis lilfordi (Lilford's wall lizard), 79 nucleotides long. The record is from the annotation of a GenBank genome assembly. Lineage: Eukaryota; Metazoa; Chordata; Lepidosauria; Squamata; Lacertidae.